GUGCUUCCCAUCCCGAUUCCGAAUCCCUAUAUUCGUUUUGCCGGCGCAAGCCGGAUAUGGCGAUAAACGGCCAUCGUAAUAAACCCUGCGGACCCGGGGGCAGUACCCGGCGCCUCCACCAGAGCCCGUUCGAAAUUGCCGCCAAGGCGAGCGGUUUCCGGCGGGGGCGAAACAGGAUCGACGAGGGCGUAAAGGGUGAGCUUUCGCUCGGUAUGGUACCCGCCGUUAUCGGGCCGAACCUAUAGUUGCCAACGACAACUAUGCCGAGGCUCGCCUCGCUGCGUAAUGCGGUGAUGCAACCUCAUCCAAAGUCCUUGCGGUUCGCACCGUAAGGCGGGGUCCGGAGGCACCUGGCAACAGAAGCCUCCACU
RNAcentral lists this transfer-messenger RNA (371 nucleotides) under Bauldia sp. It matches the Rfam family "Alphaproteobacteria transfer-messenger RNA". From Rfam's summary of the family: Bacterial tmRNA, also known as 10Sa RNA or SsrA, is named for its dual tRNA and mRNA-like properties. The record is from RNAcentral. Lineage: Bacteria; Pseudomonadati; Pseudomonadota; Alphaproteobacteria; Hyphomicrobiales; Kaistiaceae.